Molecule: transfer RNA, 69 nt
Filed under: Rattus norvegicus (Norway rat)
Lineage: Eukaryota; Metazoa; Chordata; Mammalia; Rodentia; Muridae
Rfam family: tRNA
About the family: Transfer RNA (tRNA) molecules are approximately 80 nucleotides in length. Their secondary structure includes four short double-helical elements and three loops (D, anti-codon, and T loops). Further hydrogen bonds mediate the characteristic L-shaped molecular structure. tRNAs have two regions of fundamental functional importance: the anti-codon, which is responsible for specific mRNA codon recognition, and the 3' end, to which the tRNAs corresponding amino acid is attached (by aminoacyl-tRNA synthetases). tRNAs cope with the degeneracy of the genetic code in two manners: having more than one tRNA (with a specific anti-codon) for a particular amino acid; and 'wobble' base-pairing, i.e. permitting non-standard base-pairing at the 3rd anti-codon position.
Source: Rfam by way of RNAcentral
GGGGAUCUGGCUCAGCGGUAGAGCGCUUGCCUAGGAAGCACAAGGCCCUGGGUUCGGUCCCCAGCUCCG